GCCUACACAUGCAGUCGACGGUAACAGGAAACAGCUUGCUGUUUCGCUGACGAGUGGCGGACGGGUGAGUAAUGUCUGGGAAACUGCCUGAUGGAGGGGGAUAACUACUGGAAACGGUAGCUAAUACCGCAUAACGUCGCAAGACCAAAGAGGGGGACCUUCGGGCCUCUUGCCAUCGGAUGUGCCCAGAUGGGAUUAGCUAGUAGGUGGGGUAACGGCUCACCUAGGCGACGAUCCCUAGCUGGUCUGAGAGGAUGACCAGCCACACUGGAACUGAGACACGGUCCAGACUCCUACGGGAGGCAGCAGUGGGGAAUAUUGCACAAUGGGCGCAAGCCUGAUGCAGCCAUGCCGCGUGUAUGAAGAAGGCCUUCGGGUUGUAAAGUACUUUCAGCGGGGAGGAAGGGAGUAAAGUUAAUACCUUUGCUCAUUGACGUUACCCGCAGAAGAAGCACCGGCUAACUCCGUGCCAGCAGCCGCGGUAAUACGGAGGGUGCAAGCGUUAAUCGGAAUUACUGGGCGUAAAGCGCACGCAGGCGGUUUGUUAAGUCAGAUGUGAAAUCCCCGGGCUCAACCUGGGAACUGCAUCUGAUACUGGCAAGCUUGAGUCUCGUAGAGGGGGGUAGAAUUCCAGGUGUAGCGGUGAAAUGCGUAGAGAUCUGGAGGAAUACCGGUGGCGAAGGCGGCCCCCUGGACGAAGACUGACGCUCACGUGCGAAAGCGUGGGGAGCAAACAGGAUUAGAUACCCCUGGUAGUCCACGCCCUAAACGAUGUCGACUUGUAG
RNAcentral lists this ribosomal RNA (785 nucleotides) under Escherichia coli. RNAcentral's name for it is "bacterial SSU rRNA". It matches the Rfam family "Bacterial small subunit ribosomal RNA", at positions 46 to 822 of the family's 1533-position model. The record is from RNAcentral. Lineage: Bacteria; Pseudomonadati; Pseudomonadota; Gammaproteobacteria; Enterobacterales; Enterobacteriaceae.